RNAcentral lists this ribosomal RNA (644 nucleotides) under uncultured Alphaproteobacteria bacterium. RNAcentral describes it as "bacterial SSU rRNA". It matches the Rfam family "Bacterial small subunit ribosomal RNA", at positions 76 to 763 of the family's 1533-position model. The record is from RNAcentral. Lineage: Bacteria; Pseudomonadati; Pseudomonadota; Alphaproteobacteria.
ACGAGCGCGCCUCGGGCGAGCGGCGGACGGGUUAGUAACGCGUGGGACGUGCCCAGAUCUACGGAAUAGCCACUGGAAACGGUGAGUAAUACCGUAUACGCCCUUCGGGGGAAAGAUUUAUCGGAUUUGGAUCGGCCCGCGUUAGAUUAAGUAGUUGGUGGGGUAACGGCCUACCAAGCCUACGAUCUAUAGCUGGUUUUAGAGGAUGAUCAGCAACACUGGGACUGAGACACGGCCCAGACUCCUACGGGAGGCAGCAGUGGGGAAUCUUGGACAAUGGGGGCAACCCUGAUCCAGCCAUGCCGCGUGAGUGAAGAAGGCCCUAGGGUCGUAAAACUCUUUCGCCUGUGAUGAUAAUGACAGUAGCAGGUAAAGAAACCCCGGCUAACUCCGUGCCAGCAGCCGCGGUAAUACGGAGGGGGUUAGCGUUGUUCGGAAUUACUGGGCGUAAAGCGCACGUAGGCGGAUUAGAAAGUUAGAGGUGAAAUCCCGGGGCUCAACCCCGGAACUGCCUUUAAAACUACUAGUCUAGAGUUCGAGAGAGGUGAGUGGACUUCCGAGUGUAGAGGUGAACUCGUCGAUCUCGCGGGACCCCAGCGGCGACGGCGGUCACUGGCUCGUUCUGCGCUGAGGUGCGAGGUGUG